Molecule: ribosomal RNA, 497 nt
Filed under: uncultured bacterium
Lineage: Bacteria
Description: partial 16S ribosomal RNA
Rfam family: Bacterial small subunit ribosomal RNA
Source: RNAcentral
GAUGAACGCUGGCGGCGUGCCUAAUACAUGUAAGUCGAGCGAACGGACGGCAAUCUUGUUUCUCUGAUGUUAGCGGCGGACGGGUGAGUAACAUGUGGAGACCCUACCUAUAAGACUGGGAUAACUUCGGGAAAUCGGAGCUAUUACCGUAUAAUCUUUUUAACCGCCUUGUUCAACAGUGUAAGACGGUCUUGCUGUUUCUUAUUGCUGACUCCGCGCUGCAUUAGCUAGUUAGUAAGGUAACGGCUUACCAAGGCAACGAUGCAUAGCCGACCUGAGAGGGUGUUCAGCCGCACUGAAACUGAGGCACGAUCCAGACUCCUACGGGAGGCAGCAGUAGGGAAUCUUCCGCAAUGGGCGAAAGCCUGCCGGAGCAACGCCGCGUGAGUGAUGAAGUUCUUCGGAUCGUAAAACUCUGUUAUUAGGGAAGAACAUAUGUGUAAGUAACUGUGCACAUCUUGACGGUACCUAAUCAGAAAGCCACGGCUAACUACGUG